Molecule: transfer RNA, 72 nt
Filed under: Nelumbo nucifera (sacred lotus)
Lineage: Eukaryota; Viridiplantae; Streptophyta; Magnoliopsida; Proteales; Nelumbonaceae
Rfam family: tRNA
About the family: Transfer RNA (tRNA) molecules are approximately 80 nucleotides in length. Their secondary structure includes four short double-helical elements and three loops (D, anti-codon, and T loops).
Source: Rfam by way of RNAcentral
GGUUCCAUGGUCUAGUGGUCGGGACAUUGGACUCUGAAUCCAGUAAUCCGAGUUCAAAUCUCGGUGGAACCU